AUGUUGCCGCAGCUCCUCCUCCGCCGCUUCCCCUCCGCGGGCGCCCACCGCCGCCGCUACCAGGGACACGCCCACCGCCGCCGCCUCAGCUCGUCAUCGGAGGUGGCGGGAGGCCCCGGAUGGCGGCGGCAGCACGAGGAGGAGAGCAAGGCGGUCAAGGUGUCGGUGUGGUGGGACUUCGAGAACUGCCACGUCCCCCAGAACGUCAACGUCUGCCGCGUCGCCCAGCGCGUCUCCGCCGCGCUCCGCGCCGCCGGCGUCCGCGGCCCGCUCUCCAUCACCGCCUUCGGGGACGUCGUCCAGCUCUCCCGCGCCGCGCAGGAGGCGCUCGUUGCCACCGGCGUCGUCAUCUCCCACGUCCCAAGCAGUGGAAAGAACAGUUCUGACCGGUCAUUUAUGGCUGAUCUUGUCUACUGGAUUGCUCAGAACCCUCCACCAGCUCAUUUUUUCCUCAUAUCUGGGGAUAAAGAUUUCGCCAACAUUUUGCAUCGGUUGCGAAUGAGCAACUAUAACAUACUACUUGCUUGUCCUGGUAAAACUACCAGUGUACUGUGCAAUGCAGCGACGAUUAUGUGGCCUUGGGAAGCUUUAGUGAAAGGGGAAAAUUUCUCACCAAAGCGUUUUAACCACCCACCAGAUGGUUUAUCUGGAUCUUGGUAUGGUCACUACAAAGGAGCCCUUGACGACCCCUUCGUGGAAGCUGAAUCAGAAGAAACCAUUGCAACACCAGUACCAUCUGAUGAAAAAUUAUGCCAUAAUCCCAAAAAUGCAGUUACUGCAGUCCCCAAAGAUGUGGUUGAUGGGAUACGAGAGGCACUGAAUUCGUAUCCUAAUGGGGUCAAGCUUUCAAUUCUUCUUCAACAACUCAAGAAGAACAAUGUGCCUCUUGGUAAUGAUUUCUUUGGCCACAAAAAGUUGUCUUGCCUUCUCCUAUCAAUGCCAGAUAUUGUGAAGUUUGUUGCUCGUUCAUCUGCUUUAAGAGAGCCAUGUGUAGUUGGGGUGAACAAAAAAUUACUGGAACCUGCUGAACAAUGUUUUGAGCCCCUGAGUUCUGUUGAAAGUGAUGUCAACGACAAUAACCGCGGUCGAGCAACACACAAUGAUAAGAAGCCUCCAUCCUCCGUGUCCACUUCUUCUCCUGAACAAAACUGUAAAACCCUAGGUUCUCAAAGUAUCACUAGGGACAGAAGCUUCAAGCAGACUGUCUAUGAGAACCCAGCUGCAUCUGCUGUAUCAUCUUCCCCACAAGAUGUCUUACCUGAGGAUCAAAAGGUGUGCUCAGCAGCUGAUAUGAAUGCAAGGCCAGAAUCACCUGCCAACCACAAGGAAGUUGAUGCCCCUGGAACUCCCUCUUCCUUAGGGGUGGAAAAUACUGUUAACAGUGAUGGGCUAUUAAAAAGGCCAACCACAAGGCCAAAAUCAUCUGCCAACCACAAGGAAGUUGAUGCCCCUGGAACUCCCUCUUUCUUAGGGGUGGAAAAUACUGUUGACAGUGACGGACUAUUAAAAAGGAUCUGGGUACUAUGGAAUGGCCCUGAGAGUGCUAAUCGUGAGGUUUCUCCAUGUCAUGAAGGCACUUCUGCUGAAGUCGCUGAUUUGGGAACUCCUCAGCAAGAUUGCAAUACUGAUCAACGUAGCAGGCUUUUGAAUAGGAUCCAUAAGACCUCUUCCCGGAACAGAAGGUCAGAUGUAAGAGAUGGCUCUGCAGCGAUGACUGUUAACUCUUCAACUUUGUCUGACCAUGACCAUUCUGAAAAACAUGCAGAAGAGACAGAAAAGUUAAAGAGGGAUCUGCCUAUUCUCCAGAACUCGAAACCAUGCACUGGACCUGCAUCUGUUCCAUUGUGUAAAGAUGGAGGUGAUACCUCCAAGAUGAGCAAGGGCUUUUUUAGUUGGGUAAUGCGGUGGUGGAAAUUUGGAAAAUUGGAUGGAGAUAACAGUAUAGCCAUGAAAAAUGGCAUUGAUGAAGCAAAGACAGACAUAAUUGAGGAAUCUCAAUCUUUGAAGGCUUCAACUUGUGAAAAUGAGCAGCAAGUAGUUAAUAAAAUAUUCACAAGAUUUUACUUUUGGGAUGUGCUAGGGAAACAGCUAUCGAAGCCCAUUGGGUCUGAGCUUGUUUCGAAAGCAAAGACAAGGGAGGAGUUGGUACAUGGAUUGCAGAAUUUAGAUUGUUGGCCUCUCAAAGGCCUUGUCGAGAAAGAUGUCAAUCAUCUGAUUCAUUUGUUACUUUCAGAAAAGAAAUGGAUCGAGGAAACUCCUUCUAGCGAUUUUCCUUUCCGUCUUACACUCCCUCAAAAGAGAACGCGCACUCCACCAAAUUCUAGCACAACAAGCACUCCACCAAAUUCUAGCACAACAUGCACUCCACCAAAUUCUAGCACAACAUCCACUCCACCAAAUUCUAGCAAGUUUGAUCUGAGUUCUCUCUUUAAUGUCAAGCCAUUGGAGCAGGGUAAAUAUGGUGGUGACAAAGGUAGGACAAAUAGGACUCCGAACAGGGAGGAAACAUUGUCUGAUUGCCACAAGCUAUUGAAGGACCUUCUCCUGCAAUACAAAUAUGGAUUUAACAUCAGCAUUUUCAAGCGUCAGUUUGCUCAGAAGCACGGAUACGAGCUUGACCACCAGAAGCUUGGAUAUGCAGACAUUGAGUCACUGUUGCAGAUUAUGCCUGGUAUAAGGGUAGAAUUUCCCAGGGUUCUGCCUGCAGAAAAUGGGAAUGAUCAGGGUGGCAGUAAGGGUGAUGGAAAUCAAAGUAAUGGCGAUGAUUCCAUCUGGGGGGAACUUGGCCCUGUAUCUGCCACUGCCAAAACUGCUGAAGGAGUUGAUAAAGAAACUUGCUACCGGCCUCCCACCUGCUCAGAAGACGAUUUCUCUGACGAUGAGAAUCAAGCAGAGCAAGAGCCCAGAAGGGGCGCUGAGCAGAGCUCGCUCCUGAAAAUCAUUGAUUCCUGGAACGGCAGCAAGGAUGGCUCUGGCAAGAAACCUCAAGAGAUUGACGGGGUCAUGGAUUGUUCCAGGAGCAGUCCAGGUUACCUUGACACUCUGAGGGCCACAAGGCAGCAGCAGCAGACACAGAAGCAGUAUUCGUUUGUUUCAUCAGACUCGGAAGAGGAUGAAAGCAAGGAUAAGCUUGUGGACAGCGUGUUGGGCAGUCUGCAGAAAGCGCGAGGCGCAAAGGCGUCUAAUUGA
This 3189-nucleotide ribosomal RNA is filed under the name Triticum aestivum (bread wheat). RNAcentral describes it as "partial small subunit ribosomal RNA". The record is from RNAcentral. Lineage: Eukaryota; Viridiplantae; Streptophyta; Magnoliopsida; Poales; Poaceae.